ACAGCGUGACUUGCUGGGUGUUGUUUGCUUUUUGAAGUGUGCCCAGUGGGGCUGUGUUUGUUGCAGCUAGGGAUGUCCACUGAGCAAGUGUGCCUGCUGCUGAGUGACAACGUGAUUUUCAAAGGCAGAACUGUGAGCGUUCCUUCAGGUGUCUUUGAUGGGAAGAUGGUAUUCAAGGCUGGAUCCUUGAUGUGGGAUGUACAGUGGAAGUUCCAUUUCAGAAGCUGAAAGGUUGGCCAGACCUUCAUGCUGUAGACAGUCAGAGGGAUUCUCCUUAGAGGUGUUUCUUGGCAAUCAAUACCACCACCACCACCAUCCAUAUCUAGAGUCAGGGCACUUUCCCUCCUCCCCAGCCGGUGUACAAGCUCAAUGAAACAAUUCCAGCUUUUUGUGAUUGUGCUUUCUCUCUGUUACCUUCAGCAUGUUCUCUGUCUUCUCCCUGCCAAAAGCAUUUCCUGUUCCCCAGACUGCAAACCUGGCAGUACAGAGGCUGGGUCAGCUGUGAGAUGAUCUCCAUGGAAUCAGUUUAAACCUCCUGGCAGUGGGACAGCAGACACUGUGGGAUGCGAUGGGACUCGUUUCACGCAGACUUGUGACCUCAUCUGGGUUCUAAGAGCGCUCUUUGACCUCCAGCCCAGUACCUCCUCUGCUGCCACUGCCCAGAAGUUCUGAACACCGAGUUCCCAGACAGGCCAGGUGCACGAGCAGAGCUUUUUACCUCCCUCUGGAAGCGGAAACUGUCUGGGCUCGGUGCAGCCCCAGAGCGACAAUUAACGCUGCUAAUUUUUCUGGCGCGAAUGUAAAUGGCUCAGGGCCAGACCUUAGCAUCAAUACAGUUAUUGGCAACUACUGAAAACAAAUAAAUCAACCACAAUUUACUGGCACCCCUGCCUCCUUUUCUAAAUGGGAUCAGCAUAGUGUGAGAGUUCUCAGAGAACGUUCUGAGAGAAUCCAUCUGGACGAGGAGCGAGAGUUGUUUCGCUGACAUAACUGACUGGGAGUUUUAGAGCAUUUUUAAAAGGAUACCUCACAAGAGGCUAGUAAGGAAGUGAAGAAGUGGCUGAAAGAGAACAGGAUCCAAUGGUCAGUUUUCACUGGGGCAGUGCUUAGUAACAGAGCACUAAGACUGCCGGAACUUCACUGUGAAUUGACCUUCUGGAGAAGGGCUUAGUUAGCGUGGUGUUAAGGUCUGGCAUGCAUGUGUUGUUUUAACAAGUGACAAUCCUUUCACAGAGCAGUUACUGAUAUUAGUCAAGACAAACCUCAGCAAUUAGGCAAGACAAUGGCAGAGGAAGUUCAUGAUGGAAAAUCCAAAAUAAGGUGUGUGGGGAGGAUAUUACUAAUACACGUUGUUGGAGCUUGGAUUUACAGUAACCACCCAAGAACACGACCUGUGUGUCACCUUGGAGAGCUUGGUGUGGAAAGGCCAGGAAAGCAAAUGAAAUGUCACCAUGGAUAAAGAAAGGGGCGUGGGCCCACAGAACCUGCUCUGGCCAGAACUCCCCAGCAUGCACAGUGCUUUCUCACCCUGCUGCACAGUUCCUAGGAGGAGCUGGCUGUCCUCUGGCGGGAAGUGCUGAGGCUCUUUGACAUCACUUUCCAUCCUCUGUCCCCAGCUUUCUCCAAAAGGCCUUCCCGUUGCUGAGAAGCAGCUGUUCUUAGACUUGUGCUGUUGGAAAGAAGCUGAGUUCAGAAAGCAAGCCCAUGGAAAUGUUUCCACAUAACAACGUGCAGCACUUCAAACCAAAGGAGGCUUCUCUCAUGUGAAACCACAGGGAAGCAGAGACAUGCAGUCAUGCUGAAAAUGGAUCUGAAUGCAGUGGCUGAUGCUCCCAGUGUAAAUUUUUACUGAGAGAAACUUAAGUGAAACCUCAGCGUAUUUCCUGAAGAAACCCACCCUAACCAAAAUGGCAUCUCCGAGGACGAGUCCCUUCCCAGAUCUCACAACAGCUUUUUGUUCCUGUGCUCUGAAGCCGCCUUCUAAACCAUACCUGCUGUCACAAAGCACUGAAGCUGGAGUGGCUCAGUGGCCUUCAAACUGAGAGCUGCCUCCUGAACAAAGGCUGUUCUGUCAGCAGGCUCUGCUCUGGAGCCAUCAGCUCUGAGGUUCCUUGGAGCAGCUGUGCGCCGCCCUGUCAGCACAAUCCCAAGCUGUAACAGCCCCAUUAGCUACAUGCUGCUGCCCAGCUGGACCCUGUACCAGCUCUGUGCUGGAGAAGGAGCAACGACUAAAGCCUGAGAGCUGAGCUCUGUGUCUUCUGUUGGUACCAAGUCACUCUGGCUUCUUUCCUCCAAAAGUGCACCAGCUUGCAGCAGCCUUCUGCCACCACUGAACAACAAGAGCAUCUCCACCUUCUUCCACAAGUCUCCCAGGCCCCCAUCAAGUACUGAAGGGA
This is a long non-coding RNA of Pogoniulus pusillus (Red-fronted tinkerbird), 2396 nucleotides long. RefSeq lists it as uncharacterized. The record is from RefSeq and is a predicted model, not a curated record. NCBI's taxonomy places the organism in Eukaryota, Metazoa, Chordata, Aves, Piciformes, Lybiidae. The transcript is spliced from 3 exons.